AAUUACAAUACUACCAAACAAUGAAAUAUUAGGUAGCCAUUUAAAAGUCACAUUUAGCUGGGUUUAAGAAGUGCAAUAUUAAAACAAAAGCCAUGAGACUUGUAAGCCCAGUGUGUAAAGAUACACUCUGAGUUAUAACUCAGAGGCACAGUU
RNAcentral lists this small nucleolar RNA (153 nucleotides) under Microcebus murinus (gray mouse lemur). RNAcentral's name for it is "Small Cajal body specific RNA 1". It matches the Rfam family "Small Cajal body specific RNA 1". Rfam says of the family: scaRNAs are a specific class of small nuclear RNAs which localise to the Cajal bodies and guide the modification of RNA polymerase II transcribed spliceosomal RNAs U1, U2, U4, U5 and U12. ACA35 belong to the H/ACA box class of guide RNAs as it has the predicted hairpin-hinge-hairpin-tail structure, conserved H/ACA-box motifs and is found associated with GAR1. It is predicted to guide pseudouridylation of the U2 spliceosomal snRNA at residue U89. The record is from Rfam by way of RNAcentral. Lineage: Eukaryota; Metazoa; Chordata; Mammalia; Primates; Cheirogaleidae.